GUGGGGAAUAUUGCACAAUGGGGGAAACCCUGAUGCAGCGACGCCGCGUGAGUGAAGAAGUAUUUCGGUACGUAAAGCUCUAUCAGCAAGGAAGAAAAUGACGGUACUUGACUAAGAAGCCCCGGCUAACUACGUGCCAGCAGCCGCGGUAAUACGUAGGGGGCAAGCGUUAUCCGGAUUUACUGGGUGUAAAGGGAGCGUAGACGGUAUGGUAAGUCAGAUGUGAAAGCCCGGGGCUCAACCCCGGGACUGCAUUUGAAACUAUCAGACUAGAGUGCAGGAGAGGUAAGUGGAAUUCCUAGUGUAGCGGUGAAAUGCGUAGAUAUUAGGAGGAACACCAGUGGCAAAGGCGGCUUACUGGACUGUAACUGACGUUGAGGCUCGAAAGCGUGGGGAGCAAACAGGAUUAGAUACCCCGGUAGUCC
Molecule: ribosomal RNA, 425 nt
Filed under: uncultured bacterium
Lineage: Bacteria
Description: partial 16S ribosomal RNA
Rfam family: Bacterial small subunit ribosomal RNA
Source: RNAcentral